Dreissena polymorpha is the source of this 1019-nucleotide long non-coding RNA. RefSeq lists it as uncharacterized. The record is from RefSeq and is a predicted model, not a curated record. The transcript has 4 exons. Lineage: Eukaryota; Metazoa; Mollusca; Bivalvia; Myida; Dreissenidae.
AAAUAAUGAGGAUCCGGUGUAUACAACCGUUAAAAAGUACAAACCCAACCCCAAGCAUAAUAAGACAGAUCACGUCAAUCAUUAAAAUCCACUAUAUUCGUCUGUGAACAUGGACAAUCAACACUCUACAAGUGUGAACAAAGCUGUUCAACCUUUAAAGCAUGGCAAUCGAUCACGUUUUGCAAAUAGAUACGCUGAAAAUACCCAACUGUGUCAAGCGAUAAACAAGCAAGGCAUUUUGGAAUCCACUGCUAACACAGGAAACCCACCUUAUCCGACACAGAACCUGACUGAAGAAGCUAGCUCCUCUUGGGUGCCGCCUAUUCAACUAACCACAGAGAAGUUUCAGCAGCAAAAUCUGCGGCGCAAGUUCCAAUUUAUAGCAAAGUGAACAAGAAGACAGUUAACGGUCUACGCGCGAAAUUUGAUUCAUGCUGAAAGUUAACGGAAAAGCAACAGUGAGCCUUAGUCGUUCGACAAUCAAACGACAGACCUAUUAAACAUUACAGCAUCAUAUUACCGCGGCUCGGCGCAAUAAUAUCUAGCUGGCUUUGCAAAAUAUUGUACAUGCGUAUUUUUGUAAAUGCUUUUUUAUUCCGCUUUGUAUAAUUUGCAUUGAUAGCUCGAAUCCUAUUGAACUGUACGGAUGCCUGUGUGAACUGUACGGAUGUCUGUGUGAACUGUACGGAUGCCUGUGUGAACUGUACGGAUGCCUGUGUGAACUGUACGGAUGUCUGUGUGAAUUGUACGGAUGCCUGUGUGAACUGUACGGAUGCCUGUGUGAACUGUACGGAUGCCUGUGUGAACUGUACGGAUGCCUGUGUGAACUGUACGGAUGCCUGUGUGAACUGUACGGAUGCCUGUGUGAACUGUACGGAUGUCUGUGUGAACUGUACGGAUGUCUGUGUGAACUGUACGAAUGUCUGUGUGAACUGUAAGGAUGCCUGUGUGAACUGUACGGAUGCCUGCGUGAACUGUACGGAUGCCUGUGUGAACUGUACGGAUGCCUGUGUGAACUG